AAAAUGUUGAGAACUUUCACUGUUAGGGAAACUAAUAUAAUAUUGGGAUGAACGUGAUCAAAUGGAGUGAUAUGGUAUAUGGAUAUUGAGGAUUCACAUAACCGAUCCGAACUUGCUUUAUAAUUGUUGUUUUCAUGUAACUCUUCACAAAAGGCACGAUUGUACUGCCCGAAGAGCGAUAUAGCCUUAUGUAUAUCAUUACAUGUAACUUUAGUUGCUCAAGACUUGUUCAAGGAUUUUAGCCCCCACCGCCACCUCAAUAUUUUAUGUGCGGAUACUCGAACUGUAGAUAAUAGUGAUUCAUAAUUAGAAAGUAGUUUGUGUUUUUUCACUAUUAGGUAAAGUAAGAUUUCAUUCAGUAUGCAUCUCCUGGACGCAUUUGAGUACACCAAAAGAAGUUUGCUCCUGGACAUUCUUUUGACUUUUAUCUAAAUACUCACAGAGCUAACAAAAUCCAAAAACAAAAGGAAGUUAAUUAUGUUGCAAAGAUUACACCAAGUAAAAAGAUUGAUUAAGCAUGCACUUUAGAACAUGUACUGGAGUUGCAGAUUAGGUUAUACAGUAGCUUCAUGAGUUGUCAAAUUCAAUAUUCUUACCUCUGUGAAAAGUUAUUGGAAUGAGAUCUCAUGCUAUUUUUCGUAUUGCGUUUUUCGCAUACAUUCUUUUUCAAUGAUGCUAAGUGUAUAGGUUAACUUAGAGCCCUUUUAGAGAUCACACGGAUCUAAUUUGUGCACACUAUGAUGUUUCUAGCCGAGUUAUUAGCUUCUGGAACUUUACAAAUGCUUAAACUAAUAGCUGCUUCUGUUAAUGAAAUUUACUUACUUAAAAAGACAAAUGGCUGCUUCCGCAAAUGUAUUACAACUAUGUUUCAAGGUUUCCAUAUCUGAGCUUCUAAUGUUUGCGGGACAUCACAUUUCUGUCAUUCUCUCUUUUAGACUUUCUUCAAGGAUUACAUGGGAGUUCCAUUGGUGAUGGAGCCAAACUUCACUGAUUAUAGCUGUCAGUUUAAAUUCGGGAUUCUACCUCCUCAGCCAGAAGAUGACAACACUCUUAAAGAGCCAUGCUUGGAGAUAUGCCCCAACGCUGUUCGUCGAAAAGAAAUGAACCAUAACAUGGAUGCACACAAGUGUCCGAAAGCAUGAAUUUUUAUUUUUUUGGUUGUCCUGCUAUUCUAAUAUCUUGAGUACAUAGUUUGUCUUCCACAACACUACAGCAAAAGUAGCGUCUGCCUCCAGUUUGGUGUAACUACUUGUAAGAGAGAAAUUUAAGAACAGAAGGAUAACUUUUUAAGGACCAACAGCAAAAUUCAUUCUAUGCAUAAAACUCUAGAAUAUAAUGCACAUAGCAACUGCAAUUGUAACUGAAGUGGAUAUUCUGGAGAGGGAAAAAAACCUUUUUUUUGUUGA
Non-coding RNA from Nicotiana tabacum (common tobacco), 1406 nucleotides. The record is from RefSeq and is a predicted model, not a curated record. NCBI's taxonomy places the organism in Eukaryota, Viridiplantae, Streptophyta, Magnoliopsida, Solanales, Solanaceae.